CNUACGGGAGGCAGCAGUGAGGAAUAUUGGACAAUGGGNGNGANCCUGAUCCAGCCAGCCGCGUGCAGGAAGACUGCCCUAUGGGUUGUAAACUGCUUUUUUACGGGAAGAAACACUCNCGUGUNGGGGCUUGACGGUACCGUAAGAAUAAGGAUCGGCUAACUCCGUGCCAGCAGCCGCGGUAAUACGGAGGAUCCGAGCGUUAUCCGGAAUCAUUGGGUUUAAAGGGUCCGUAGGCGGGCUUAUAAGUCAGCGGUGAAANUCUGCAGCUCAACUGUAGAAUUGCCAUUGAUACUGUUAGUCUUGAAUUACUGUGAAGUGGUUAGAAUAUGUAGUGUAGCGGUGAAAUGCUUAGAUAUUACAUGGAAUACCAAUUGCGAAGGCAGAUCACUAACANUAUAUUGACGCUGAGGGACGAAAGCGUGGGUAGCGAACAGGAUUAGAUACCCUGGUAGUCCACGCCGUAAACGAUGGAUACUAGCUGUUGGGCANANUCAGUGGCUAAGCGAAAUAAGU
This 516-nucleotide ribosomal RNA is filed under the name uncultured bacterium. RNAcentral's name for it is "bacterial SSU rRNA". It matches the Rfam family "Bacterial small subunit ribosomal RNA", at positions 338 to 865 of the family's 1533-position model. The record is from RNAcentral.